AAUUGGGCGCUAUUUUUCCCCUCUUUUUCUGCCCAACCCACAACUGACCCACGCACCCCUCAACUCUCUUCCCACCCUCGCCUCCCCCCUUCCCCCAAAAGAACGUACUGUAUGUUUUUAUAUAAGUAUACAAUAACUUAUAGUUUGUUACAGAGCAAUUAAUAGCUAGCAUCUCACAAAUUGAACUCUACAAAGAAUCACAAUUUGGGUUCCUCUCUGCAACCUAGGUUUCAUUCUCCUUCUCAUCAAGGUAAGCUCUAAACUUGUAGUAAAAUAUUUUGACAUUGGGCACUUUUUUAUAUUAUCAGUUCUCUCUCUGUUUUUCAAAUAUUGAGUUUUUUCUUAUAAUUACAUAUGCUUCAAAUUUAUAAUUAUAGGUACGUUUUAUGAGUAUUGAUGUUGAAUGUGCCGAGCUUAUUUCUUUAUUUCCAUUGAAUUUUGCUCCUUACAUAAUAGCUAUGUGUUUUCAUCUUUAGAGCAGAUUAUUUUUUGAAAUUGGGUUUGAUUGCAUAUUGUUAUUGGGAAAAAGCUUCUCAAUAUCUGGUCAUGAUUGUAUUGUAAACUUUCUCUAGUGAAAUUAGGGGUGGACAUAAAAUCCGAGAAAUCCAAAAAUGUGCUAGAAGGGGAAUUGCAGCAACUAGGAUAGCAGUCAAGUUCUCAAGUCAUAAUGGAGGCUUGCAAGAAUGGGCACCAAAAUCUCCUCUUCAGGUCCUUCUGAAACCAACUUCGCCAUACUUGCUCCAUUUUAGGCACAAAUAUAUGAAUCAGAUAAAUUAUUGGCUUGAUAUAAACUGCCUAAAGUCUAUUUCUUGUAAUUACCAGU
RNAcentral lists this long non-coding RNA (823 nucleotides) under Nicotiana tabacum (common tobacco). RNAcentral describes it as "long non-coding RNA (NTAB_LNC000597)". The record is from RNAcentral. Lineage: Eukaryota; Viridiplantae; Streptophyta; Magnoliopsida; Solanales; Solanaceae.